Molecule: ribosomal RNA, 468 nt
Filed under: uncultured bacterium
Lineage: Bacteria
Description: partial 16S ribosomal RNA
Rfam family: Bacterial small subunit ribosomal RNA
Source: RNAcentral
GACGAACGCUGGCGGCGUGCUUAACACAUGCAAGUCGAACGGAAAGGCCCUGCUUUUGUGGGGUGCUCGAGUGGCGAACGGGUGAGUAACACGUGAGUAACCUGCCCUUGACUUUGGGAUAACUUCAGGAAACUGGGGCUAAUACCGGAUAGGAGCUCCUGCUGCAUGGUGGGGGUUGGAAAGUUUCGGCGGUUGGGGAUGGACUCGCGGCUUAUCAGCUUGUUGGUGGGGUAGUGGCUUACCAAGGCUGUGACGGGUAGCCGGCCUGAGAGGGUGACCGGCCACAUUGGGACUGAGAUACGGCCCAGACUCCUACGGGAGGCAGCAGUGGGGAAUAUUACACAAUGGGCGGAAGCCUGAUGCAGCAACGCCGCGUGCGGGAAGACGGCCUUCGGGUUGUAAACCGCUUUCGCCUGUGACGAAGCGUGAGUGACGGUAAUGGGUAAAGAAGCACCGGCUAACUACGUG